RNAcentral lists this microRNA (23 nucleotides) under Columba livia (rock pigeon). RNAcentral's name for it is "cli-miR-8993-5p". Lineage: Eukaryota; Metazoa; Chordata; Aves; Columbiformes; Columbidae. The record is from miRBase by way of RNAcentral.
CAGGGUCAAGGGUCAAAGGUCAG